GAAAAUUUGUCGAAUUGGGAGCUAUGCCAAAUAUAUCAGAAUUCUAUCCUCUAUUUGAUGCUCUGGAUUUGCAGGGAUUGAGAAAGCAGACUGAAAUAUAUCAGAACCGAUUGGUCAACAUCUGGAGUGAAAUUGUAAAGGAAAAACGACAGGCGAUUAGUCGUAGUAGCUCGGAUUUUUUGGAUGCCAUGAUUGAUAAUGGAUUCUCGGAUUUACAGGUCGAUAUCUUAUUGAUGGAAUUAAUUUCUGCGGGUUCUGAUACCACUACCUCAACCAUUGAAUGGGCAAUGGCGGAACUGCUGAGGAACAAGGGCGCUAUGCACAAACUUCAAGCUGAGCUUACGAGUAAGAUCGGAGAAAAUGAUAUAAUUACAG
This 375-nucleotide unclassified non-coding RNA is filed under the name Hevea brasiliensis (rubber tree). Lineage: Eukaryota; Viridiplantae; Streptophyta; Magnoliopsida; Malpighiales; Euphorbiaceae. The record is from RNAcentral.